This is a long non-coding RNA of Oreochromis aureus, 1123 nucleotides long. RefSeq lists it as uncharacterized. The transcript has 4 exons. NCBI's taxonomy places the organism in Eukaryota, Metazoa, Chordata, Actinopteri, Cichliformes, Cichlidae. The record is from RefSeq and is a predicted model, not a curated record.
GGAAGACUCCAGAAUCCACUCUGGCUGGAAUCCGGUGGAUACAGCAGUGUUACAGAUUUCAGAAGAGCAAAGAUGAGGACUCCUACUUCAUCCUUAAUAGUUUAACUGGAUUGGAAAUCAAAAAAAAUCCUGAUUCUUCUUCCACAGAAGUUUCAUUUGUCAGUGUGGGACUGCUGAGUCACCUGAAGAACUCAUUUCAUUCUCCACGAUGUUGAUUUACAGAAAUGUUUCACAGGAACUGAUUCCUCCCAAAGGGUGAACUAGUGUGUUUCCAUAGAUUACCUCUGUAUGAAUGUACUUCUUAAAUGAAGGCAAGUGUUUGUCCUUUUUUGUUCCUCAGGUACAGUACGUGAUAUUAAGGGCAGGCGGUCAACACUGGGGGAAGACAAGAAGCAGACGUACUUCCAAGAGGGAGCUGCAGUGAGGACACAGCCUGGUCACUGAGGUCAGAGGAGGCGCUGAAAGGUUUCCCUAAUAGUUCCUGGUGAAUCAAAGCAGGACCAUAAAGGUUGCUGGACUGCAUGAUGGCCUUACCCCUGAGCAGUCGUCCUGUUAAAGGAGGAACCAGUUAGAAGCUGUUUUCAAAGUAGCUGAGCAGAUUUCAUCUCAAAUCAAAGCAGCUCGUGCUCUUUCUGCUUCCAUUCUGAUGGCAAGAAGAAGAAGAAGGAGAAGAAUGCUUCAGCGAAGUGGCGUUCAUGGUCUCAGUGGACAGUCAUGGUCACACACUGCAUGUGGUUUUAAAAGCAACAUUGUUCACCACAACAAUGGAGAUGUGUAAUAUCAGUGCAGCUACGGUUUGUUCUUGAACAUCAGUUCUGUUUUCUACUUUGACCACUUAGACCAAAAAAGUGUUGUUUUCAGAUUCUUUCUUAUAAAUCUGUAAAUCACCUGCUCAUUUUUUAUUACAAUUAGUUUCACAUAAAUAGUAGUGUUUCCUUUAUGGUCUUUUAAUGCUUACACUAGACUGUACACGUCUACAUUAGAGACAUUUCUGUUACCUAUUUAUGAGAGUGGGCUGCUUUACUACAAUUUGGAAAUGGAUGCAAAAUUGUGCUAUUGUUUGUUUUUUAAUAUGAUUCAAUUCAAUUCAAUAAAACUUUAUUGAUCCUGAAGGUUGACCCCG